Molecule: long non-coding RNA, 601 nt
Filed under: Salmo salar (Atlantic salmon)
Lineage: Eukaryota; Metazoa; Chordata; Actinopteri; Salmoniformes; Salmonidae
Description: lncRNA (ENSSSAG00000091863.1)
Source: RNAcentral
GAAAAAACGAGAUUUCGAAAUGAGUGCGUCAGAAGGGAUAUGAAUGGGUUGGGUAUGGAUGACUUACAUGUCCAAUUGCCCAGAGACAACAAGAUGUGGUCCGCCCCCAGCUGCCAUGUGCUGUGGACAUUUUGUCAAGUCUGCAACGCACUCACACUUGCUUGGCAUAGGAGUGAAAAUGGGCUUCCUUAAAGUUGGUGCAAAGUUCUAAUGUAUUCAGCAAGAUGGCAAGUAAUGGAUAACAUACAACAAAAACAUGAUGGAUGUGACUGGUGUGUGGCUACUUACAAAACCUGGUGGAUUUAUUGUUCCACAGUGUUGUGGGAACCCCCUUACCACAUCAGGAGCAGAAGGCUGGGGCAGUGCAUGGCCAGGCACCAGUCCCACUUCAGAUGGAGGACAGAAGAGAUGGUUUGUCAUGGAGUCCCCUGACUAAAAGACAGGUUGAUACAGAUGUCUGAACUGGGAAAGACCUUGCACUCAGCAUUAAAACUAUACAAGACACAUCUGUCACUUCGUCUUUUGUUAUUAUUGGAUGGUAGGGGGGCGGGGGGACCCUGUGUAUUCUUCAAAUAUGUCAGGUAACUGUCGUAUAUAGGAC